This 253-nucleotide ribosomal RNA is filed under the name uncultured bacterium. RNAcentral describes it as "partial 16S ribosomal RNA". It matches the Rfam family "Bacterial small subunit ribosomal RNA", at positions 524 to 776 of the family's 1533-position model. The record is from RNAcentral.
UACGUAGGGGGCGAGCGUUGUCCGGAUUUACUGGGCGUAAAGAGCGCGCAGGCGGUCGUUCAAGUCGAGUGUGAAAGCCCCCGGCUCAACUGGGGAGGGUCACGCGAUACUGCUCGACUCGAAGGCAGGAGAGGGAAGUGGAAUUCCCGGUGUAGUGGUGAAAUGCGUAGAUAUCGGGAGGAACACCAGUGGCGAAGGCGACUUCCUGGCCUGUUCUUGACGCUGAGGCGCGAAAGCUAGGGUAGCAAACGGG